UACGUAGGGACCGAGCGUUGUCCGGAAUCAUUGGGCGUAAAGAGCGUGUAGGCGGCCACUUAAGUCCUGCGUGAAAUCCUGCGGCUCAACCGCAGGCGGUCGUGGGAAACUGGGUGGCCAGAGUGCGGGAGAGGAGAGUGGAAUUCCUGGUGUAGCGGUGGAAUGCGCAGAUAUCAGGAAGAACACCCGUGGCGAAGGCGGCUCUCUGGAACGCAACUGACGCUGAGACGCGAAAGCGUGGGGAGCAAACAGG
Molecule: ribosomal RNA, 253 nt
Filed under: uncultured bacterium
Lineage: Bacteria
Description: partial 16S ribosomal RNA
Rfam family: Bacterial small subunit ribosomal RNA
Source: RNAcentral